UACAGAGGGUGCAAGCGUUAUCCGGAUUCACUGGGUUUAAAGGGUGCGUAGGUGGGCUUGUAAGUCAGUGGUGAAAUCUCCGGGCUUAACCCGGAAACUGCCAUUGAUACUAUAGGUCUUGAAUUAUCUGGAGGUCAGCGGAAUAUGUCAUGUAGCGGUGAAAUGCUUAGAUAUGACAUAGAACACCAAUUGCGAAGGCAGCUGGCUACAGGUUGAUUGACACUGAGGCACGAAAGCGUGGGGAUCAAAC
This 250-nucleotide ribosomal RNA is filed under the name uncultured bacterium. RNAcentral's name for it is "partial 16S ribosomal RNA". It matches the Rfam family "Bacterial small subunit ribosomal RNA", at positions 524 to 773 of the family's 1533-position model. The record is from RNAcentral.